RNAcentral lists this long non-coding RNA (1443 nucleotides) under Canis lupus familiaris (dog). RNAcentral describes it as "lncRNA (ENSCAFG00030001154.1)". The record is from RNAcentral. Lineage: Eukaryota; Metazoa; Chordata; Mammalia; Carnivora; Canidae.
AUAAAUAAAAAAUUAAAAAAAAAAAAGCCAAGAAAGUUGAGGUUUCAAGUAUUUAAAAAAAGGGUUGCCGGCGGGGGUUCCUCGGGAGGCGGGGCGUGGACGGGGAGGUGGAGACCAGCACGUAGACGCAGGUCGGGGCGGGGAGGACUCAGGAGGUUGGGGAGGACUCAGGAGGUCCGGGAGGACUCGGGAGGUGGGGGAGGACUCAGGAGGUCCGGGAGGACUCGGGAGGUCAGAGAGGACUCAGGAGGUCGGGGAGGAGUCAGAAGGUCGGGAGGACUCAGGAGGUCGGGAGGAGUCAGGAGGUCAAGAGGAGUCAGGAGGUCAGGAGGGGUCAGGAAGUGGGGAGGACUCAAGAGGUCGGGGAGGAGUCAGGAGGUGGGGGAGGAGUCAGGUCGUGGAGGAGUCAAGAGGUGGGGGAGGAUUCAGGAGGUCCGGAAGGAGUCAGGAGGUGGGGGAGGACUCAGGAGGUCCGGGAGGAGUCAGGAGGUCGGAGAGGACUCAGGAGGUCAGAGAGGACUCAGGAGGUCAGGGAGGAGUCAGGAGGUGGGGGAGGAUUCAGGAGGUCCGGGAGGAGUCAGGUCGGGGAGGAGUCACGAGGUGGGGGAGGAUUCAGGAGGUGGGGGAGGAGUCAGGAGUUGGGGGAGGAGUCAGGAGGUCGGGAGGACUCAGGAGGUCGGGAGAGGUCAGGAGGUGGGGGAGGACUCAGGAGGUCAGAGAGGACUCAGGAGGUCGGGGAGGAGUCAGGAGGUGGGGGAGGAGUCAGGAGGUGGGGGAGGAGUCAGGUCGGGGAGGAGUCACGAGGUGGGGGAGGAUUCAGGAGGUGGGGGAGGAGUCAGGAGUUGGGGGAGGAGUCAGGAGGUGGGGGAGGACUCAGGAGGUCCGGGAGGACUGAGGAGGGCGCGGGCCGUCGCGGGGAGGGCGGCGGGGCUGCGGCGCGGGGUGCUGGCGCGGGGAGGGCCCCUCAGCCCUGGGGCGGGGCAGCUGGCCCCCGGCCGCCCACUUCCUUCAGCCCCAGGAGGUGCGCUGGGAAGGCGCCCAGGGCCGGGCACGCCGCCUCCCGGGCUGACGUCCUUCCUGGAGGGGGCGGCGCUGCCGGCGGUGGGCGUCGCGGUCCCCGCUGCUCCCCGCACCGGAGCGUUGCAGAGGAACCUUUGCGCUAGCUCCUCCAGGGCGCGGGCGCACACGCACACACGCACACACGCACACACACACACUCGGUCUGCACUCCUGGAGGCGGACCGGAUCCUCUCACGUACACACACGCACACGCACACACACUCGGUCUGCCCUGCUGAAGAUGGACCGGACCUUCCAGGGGGCUCUUUGUGCCCCUCCUCCAGCGCGCGCUUACGCAUACGGUCCAUGGUACCGGCAAAUGCCUUUUUGGGAUUUUGCCUUGAAGAAGAGGGACACAGAGAGGCUACCAGGUGCUGGUUCUGA